RNAcentral lists this ribosomal RNA (254 nucleotides) under uncultured bacterium. RNAcentral describes it as "partial 16S ribosomal RNA". It matches the Rfam family "Bacterial small subunit ribosomal RNA", at positions 524 to 777 of the family's 1533-position model. The record is from RNAcentral.
UACGAAGGGGGCUAGCGUUGCUCGGAAUCACUGGGCGUAAAGGGUGCGUAGGCGGGUCUUAAGUCAGGGGUGAAAUCCUGGAGCUCAACUCCAGAACUGCCUUUGAUACUGAAGAUCUUGAGUUCGGGAGAGGUGAGUGGAACUGCGAGUGUAGAGGUGAAAUUCGUAGAUAUUCGCAAGAACACCAGUGGCGAAAGGCGGCUCACUGGCCCGAUACUGACGCUGAGGCACGAAAGCGUGGGGAGCAAACAGGG